Molecule: long non-coding RNA, 219 nt
Filed under: Vigna radiata
Lineage: Eukaryota; Viridiplantae; Streptophyta; Magnoliopsida; Fabales; Fabaceae
Description: long non-coding RNA (VRAD_LNC004549)
Source: RNAcentral
CUGAAUGCACAUACACAGAUCGAACGGUCACAAUAACCUCUCAGUCACUAGUAAUAAUUCUGCAGAAUACUGCAGAAUUAUGAUCUCAUCCUAUUCUUUCCAUCUACAAGUCUUUUAUCAAUGCUCAAAACAUAUAUUCAAACCUGCAGUAAUAUCCAUAUCACAUAUACAUCAAAUAAUCAAACAAAACAUAGAAUUAUAAUUAAAUUAUACAAGCUU